This 92-nucleotide ribosomal RNA is filed under the name uncultured fungus. RNAcentral describes it as "partial 28S large subunit ribosomal RNA". It matches the Rfam family "Eukaryotic large subunit ribosomal RNA", at positions 1 to 93 of the family's 3401-position model. The record is from RNAcentral. Lineage: Eukaryota; Fungi.
UAUCUGAAAUCAAGCAGGAUCACCCGNUGAACUUAAGCAUAUCACUAAGCGGAGGAGAAGAAAUUAACUAAGAUUGCCCUAGUAACGGCGAG